Molecule: long non-coding RNA, 712 nt
Organism: Perca flavescens (yellow perch)
Lineage: Eukaryota; Metazoa; Chordata; Actinopteri; Perciformes; Percidae
Exons: 3
Source: RefSeq, a predicted model, not a curated record
UAUCGCUUCCGGUUGAUUUCAGCAACGGCGGGCUAACCAAAUCCGAGUUGAUGGAAACAUGCCAGUUACAGACUUGCAUAUUAUAAAAAAAGAGAAUCAUGAAGAAACAAACUGAGUACAACUGUUAACACUGAAGGGGUUGUGGCAGCAGCGAGGCGGUGGAAGUAACUUUAACCGCAAGACGCUGGAGCUGACUUUAGCUCUGACAUUAACAACUGCCUGUAAUGAAAAAUUCAACUGAACAAACAUCUUUUUCAGGUGCAAACGUAACCUGCCACUAAUCUGCCCCAGAGCCUGGGAUUCGCCCCGUUCUUACACACCGGAUUCUGCACACAAAACCUCCUGGGCUUGGCUCUGGUCCCUUCCUUAUCCUCUCUUGCGUCUGUUGUCUUUGGCUCGUCUUUGAUGCAAGAAGGUCUGGGACAAGAAGCCAACAUGACACUCUGAGUUAAAGGAAACUUCUCAGCUCUGGUUACAUCCUGCUUGCAUCACAUACACCAGGGUGUCCGUGGAGUUUUAAACAGUAUUAAAAGGUAGUAAAUCAAAUUAGUAAAUAUUAAGGCCAUUAAAAGGUAUUAAAAGGUAGGCUAUUAAUUGUCAUUUUACAAGGUAUUCAUUUUCAUAUCAUAAUUUUUUUGCAAACUAUGAGUUGUCCAUUUGUUUUAUUAUGUCUAUAGAUAAUAGUUGUUGAUCUUGUAAAGUUUGUAUGAUA